This 448-nucleotide ribosomal RNA is filed under the name uncultured bacterium. Its description in RNAcentral is "partial 16S ribosomal RNA". It matches the Rfam family "Bacterial small subunit ribosomal RNA", at positions 330 to 793 of the family's 1533-position model. The record is from RNAcentral.
UCCAGACUCCUACGGGAGGCAGCAGUGGGGGAUAUUGCACAAUGGGGGGAACCCUGAUGCAGCGACGCCGCGUGGGUGAAGGAGCGUUUCGGCGCGUAAAGCCCUAUCGGCAGGGAAGAAGGAGGACGGUACCUGACUAAGAAGCCCCGGCUAACUACGUGCCAGCAGCCGCGGUAAUACGUAGGGGGCAAGCGUUAUCCGGAUUUACUGGGUGUAAAGGGGGCGCAGACGGCAGCGCAAGCCAGGAGUGAAAGCCCGGGGCCCAACCCCGGGACUGCUCUUGGAACUGCGCGGCUGGAGUGCAGGAGGGGCAGGCGGAAUUCCUGGUGUAGCGGUGAAAUGCGUAGAUAUCAGGAGGAACACCGGUGGCGAAGGCGGCCUGCUGGACUGCGACUGACGUUGAGGCCCGAAAGCGUGGGGAGCAAACAGGAUUAGAUACCCGAGUAAG